RNAcentral lists this ribosomal RNA (253 nucleotides) under uncultured bacterium. RNAcentral describes it as "partial 16S ribosomal RNA". It matches the Rfam family "Bacterial small subunit ribosomal RNA", at positions 524 to 776 of the family's 1533-position model. The record is from RNAcentral.
UACGUAGGGUGCAAGCGUUGUCCGGAAUUAUUGGGCGUAAAGAGCUCGUAGGUGGUCUGUUGCGUCCGCUGUGAAAACUCGGGGCUUAACCCCGAGCCUGCAGUGGAUACGGGCAGACUAGAGGUAGGUAGGGGAGAAUGGAAUUCCCGGUGUAGCGGUGAAAUGCGCAGAUAUCGGGAGGAACACCGGUGGCGAAGGCGGUUCUCUGGGCCUUACCUGACGCUGAGGAGCGAAAGCGUGGGGAGCGAACAGG